GACGAACGCUGGCGGCGUGCUUAACACAUGCAAGUCGAGCGGUAAGGCCCUUUCGGGGGUACACGAGCGGCGAACGGGUGAGUAACACGUGGGUGACCUGCCCUUAGCUCUGGGAUAAGCCUGGGAAACUGGGUCUAAUACCGGAUAUGACUCCAUGACGCAUGUUGUGGGGUGGAAAGCCUUGUGCGGCUAGGGAUGGGCCCGCGGCCUAUCAGCUUGUUGGUGGGUUGAUGGCCUACCAAGGCGACGACGGUAGCCGGCCUGAGAGGGCGACCGGCCACACUGGGACUGAGACACGGCCCAGACUCCUACGGGAGGCAGCAGUGGGGAAUCUUGCGCAAUGGGCGAAAGCCUGACGCAGCGACGCCGCGUGAGGGAUGACGGCCU
This 387-nucleotide ribosomal RNA is filed under the name uncultured bacterium. RNAcentral's name for it is "bacterial SSU rRNA". It matches the Rfam family "Bacterial small subunit ribosomal RNA", at positions 28 to 417 of the family's 1533-position model. The record is from RNAcentral.